This 496-nucleotide ribosomal RNA is filed under the name uncultured bacterium. Its description in RNAcentral is "partial 16S ribosomal RNA". It matches the Rfam family "Bacterial small subunit ribosomal RNA", at positions 29 to 507 of the family's 1533-position model. The record is from RNAcentral.
AUGAACGCUGGCGGCGUGCCUAAUACAUGCAAGUCGAGCGAACAGACGAGGAGCUUGCUCCUCUGACGUUAGCGGCGGACGGGUGAGUAACACGUGGAUAACCUACCUAUAAGACUGGGAUAACUUCGGGAAACCGGAGCUAAUACCGGAAAAUAUAUUGAACCGCAUGGUUCAAUAGUGAAAGACGGUUUUGCUUUCACUUAUAGAUGGAUCCGCGCCGCAUUAGCUAGUUGGUAAGGUAACGGCUUACCAAGGCAACGAUGCGUAGCCGACCUGAGAGGGUGAUCGGCCACACUGGAACUGAGACACGGUCCAGACUCCUACGGGAGGCAGCAGUAGGGAAUCUUCCGCAAUGGGCGAAAGCCUGACGGAGCAACGCCGCGUGAGUGAUGAAGGUCUUCGGAUCGUAAAACUCUGUUAUUAGGGAAGAACAAAUGUGUAAGUAACUAUGCACGUCUUGACGGUACCUAAUCAGAAAGCCACGGCUAACUACGUG